AAAAAUAUAUACGUACAAAUAUGUUCAGCUUAGCAAAAAUUAGCAUUUGUGCAAUUUCAACACCAUCAAUAAAAAGAUAUUUGGCAGAAUAACGAGCGCCGCCCUCAAGUAGUGAUCAUAGUGUAAGCGCAGCAUUAUGAUCUGAAUAUUCGUAAGUAUGCAACUCUGUUUUUCAUACAUUUCGCAAAAUAUUCUACAGCAACAAGUGGGCGAAUUGCACGCGAAAAUAUAAAGGCAUCAUCAACAUAUAUGCACAAUUUGAAAGCUGACAAAGAGGAGUUUGCUGAAGCACAGAAGGCUGAUGUGAUUGCGACCAUCCCAUGUUGAAGAUAUCUGGGAUGUCGCCAUAUGGAAGGAUAUCUAUAAUCCCCUCGUUGCCGCUGCUAAGAGAUGUUUGUGUCAUCGAAGCUUUAAGUGACCUAGAGAAACCUACCUAUAAGAUAUGUGCAAGACAAUCGUUUGCAGCUGUUUGAAUUUGUGGGACGAAUGUUGGGCAAAGCGGUGUAUGGCCAGAUACAUCAAGCGUUGUACUCCUGUAUGGAUGAGCUGCCAUCAUUGGACAACGAGCUCUAUCGCAGCCUCACAUUCAUUAGCAUUAACUUGUCUGACUUGAAUUUAACCUUUUCGGUGGAUCAGGAGAUAUCAUGGGGAAAAUUGUAACGCACGAAUUGCAUCCCGGUCGGAAAGCUCGCGCGGUUACCGACCACAACAAACUGGUGAACACACAAAUCCGCGAACAGACGCAGGCCUUUAAUCGUAGUUUUCGCGUAGUGAUUUUUUUGCGUUACAUAUUCAAAAGUGUUUGUUACUAUAAUUCGGAUUAUGUUAUCGUUUUUCAAACAUUCUCCUUUAUGUACAAAAUAAUGUGGUUUACUUCCGCAGUUUUCUCAUUAAUGUUGUGCAAUUUAUUAUGUUUUGUAGUUUUAGAAAACUGGGAUAAAAAAUUUACAAAUUGUUGUAGUUGAAUGCCAAGAUAUAAUUACAAAAAUGGUUAAUAUGGGCUAAUUUAAUAAUUCCACAUUUCCCUAAUAUGGUUUUUGUACCAAAGAAAUAAAAUUUAUGUAAAUAGCAUUGUAAUGUAAUGUUUGUAUAUUUUACACAAUAUUAAUGCUAAUUGAACAUCUGGGAACUAUGUUGUGAGUGCAUAAGUAUAAAGCGAAAUUCAAUAAACUGAAUAUUAUCAAUGAAAUUA
Long non-coding RNA from Anastrepha ludens (Mexican fruit fly), 1192 nucleotides. RefSeq lists it as uncharacterized. NCBI's taxonomy places the organism in Eukaryota, Metazoa, Arthropoda, Insecta, Diptera, Tephritidae. The record is from RefSeq and is a predicted model, not a curated record. The transcript has 3 exons.